AAAAUAAUUGUUCAGGACAGAAUCCAGACUGAAGCUGCUGUGACCCUGGAAGUAAGAUAUGCUCCUGAAAUCCUGAAUAGCUCCCGCUGUGUGAUGUGGGGUGAUGAACUGUCCUGCAUGUGCAUCAGCAGUGGUGUGCCGUUACCCCUCAUACAGUGGCCAACACUGGAUGAUCCCACUAACUAUUGCAGUACCUACAGAAAGAACACCAUCAUCAUUUGCAACAUCUCUAUUUCUGGUAUCAGGAACGUCAAGGAUACCAUUGAAUGUAUUGCUGAGAACGUCAUUGCUACAACAAGCAUGCAAAUCCAAGUGCACAAUCAGACUGAAACACCCAAAGCAAAUUUGGGUCUGUCCAUGUCCUGGAUUUUCUGCACGCUUUCUGUUGUUUUAAACAUCAUCUUUGGCUCUUGUACUGUCGUCCUAUGGUAUGAUCUUUUGAACAUUUGAGAGAAGAUGGCUUACUUAUGAAAACUAAUCAUUG
This 484-nucleotide long non-coding RNA is filed under the name Danio rerio (zebrafish). RNAcentral's name for it is "lncRNA si:dkey-26o16.4 (ENSDARG00000102301.2)". Lineage: Eukaryota; Metazoa; Chordata; Actinopteri; Cypriniformes; Danionidae. The record is from RNAcentral.